This 513-nucleotide ribosomal RNA is filed under the name uncultured bacterium. Its description in RNAcentral is "partial 16S ribosomal RNA". It matches the Rfam family "Bacterial small subunit ribosomal RNA", at positions 28 to 523 of the family's 1533-position model. The record is from RNAcentral.
GAUGAACGCUGGCGGCGUGCCUAAUACAUGCAAGUCGAGCGAACAGACGAGGAGCUUGCUCCUCUGACGUUAGCGGCGGACGGGUGAGUAACACGUGGAUAACCUACCUAUAAGACUGGGAUAACUUCGGGAAACCGGAGCUAAUACCGGAUAAUAUAUUGAACCGCAUGGUUCAAUAGUGAAAGACGGUUUUGCUGUCACUUAUAGAUGGAUCCGCGCCGCAUUAGCUAGUUGGUAAGGUAACGGCUUACCAAGGCAACGAUGCGUAGCCGACCUGAGAGGGUGAUCGGCCACACUGGAGCUGAGACACGGUCCAGACUCCUACGGGAGGCAGCAGUAGGGAAUCUUCCGCAAUGGGCGAAAGCCUGACGGAGCAACGCCGCGUGAGUGAUGAAGGUCUUCGGAUCGUAAAACUCUGUUAUUAGGGAAGAACAAAUGUGUAAGUAACUAUGCACGUCUUGACGGUACCUAAUCAGAAAGCCACGGCUAACUACGUGCCAGCAGCCGCAGUAA